Manis javanica (Malayan pangolin) is the source of this 5055-nucleotide long non-coding RNA. RefSeq lists it as uncharacterized. The record is from RefSeq and is a predicted model, not a curated record. NCBI's taxonomy places the organism in Eukaryota, Metazoa, Chordata, Mammalia, Pholidota, Manidae.
UCCUGUCUUGCUGGUCGUUCUUUGUGUCCCUUGCCCCAUUCUUUUUUAUUUUUCAAUUCUCUCCUCCAGGUCGUCGACCUCCGUUGAUAGUCCUGCAGGUCGGGACAAUUGGCGCCGAACGUGGGGUGUUGCCUGAACUACUAGGGAGGGGCAGCACACACACCCCAGAGACCAUCCAAGAGAAUGGCUGCUGGUGAUAGUGGGGAUGAAGUCACACGUGAACAGAUCCCCACCGGCAGAGGAGGGUCUCUCCUGCUCCUUCGUCCCCCAGAGAGAGUUCAGAGCCCGUCUGCAUCACUGCAGUUGUCAGCAGCCAUUUCUCUCUGCUGACAACCAGGACUGGAGGACUCUGCACCACGUGCUUGUUUGAGCCACUCGCCACUGCUGAGACACUGAAGACGGACGGGUUCCUGGGUCAUUUUCAGAAUUUACAUUUCCUUUCUAGAGUAUUUACAGGAAUCCUGAGGAGAACCAGGUGAACCUCUUUUCCCUCUGCAGACUUGUGAUGGACCUUUCCAGAAGCACCUGGACCUACAGUAUCAGCAUCUAAGACAAAUUGUGAACAGAUAAAAAUAUUAAUGAGAAAUAUAUUUUUUGCAACCUUCUUCAAAACGACGCCUAGUGGAGAAAAGCAUAUGAAUCAAUAUCUUCACAGGUAAAUGCCCUGGAGGUAAAGGACUGAAAGAAGAUCAUCUAACGCAACCCAGAGACCAGCCCUUCUCCGAGUGCCUGAGGGCAGAGUAGCUGGGCUAUUUGAAGUUUCUGCCCCAGAGAGGAAGUACUACUGUUCAUAAGUCGGAUGUUACACUGCUCUGCUCAGAGACUGGCACAUCUACCCCAGCCCAGGCCUUGGUUUGCCUUGAUGUUUUUUCCAUGGCAAUACAUCUGAAAAAUGACUAUUAGAUCUAGCAAGGGACUCCAGCUGUCUAGUUAUGCAUAUGCAAAAGAUGAAGUUGAAUCUCUACCGCCAAAAUUCACCUGAAAUGGAUCAAUGACCUCAAUGUACAAACUGAAAAGAUAAAACUCUCAGAAGAAAACAUAGAUGUAAAUUUUCAUGACCUUGGAUUAGACAAUGAUUUUUAAAGUAUGACCUCAAAACACAAAGCAGUUGAAGAAAAAAUAAAUUAAACUUUUUCAAAAUUAAAAAUAUUCUUGCUUCAAAAGAUGCUAUAGAGACAGUGAAAAAUACAAACCACAGAAGGAAACAACUAUUUGCAAAUCAUAUGUCUGUUAAGGGUCGUGUAUCCAGAAUAUAAAGAUCCCUUGCACUCAAUAAUAAAAAGAAAAUAACUUCAGGGAAAUUUUAAUUUUAACAAAGACUCAACUACGCUGCUGGUGAUAGGGGGAUGAAGCCAAUGGGUCACAAGUACGUGGGACAGCGUGGAGCGGAGCUGGCUCCUGAAGUCCAAGGAGCAGGCCCUUGGAACCUGUGAUCUGUAGCUAGGUGGUCAGAAGCACAGUGACAAGCUUCAGUGGAAGAAAGAGAGGUUACUAUUAAUUUUCAGACAGGAGUACAGGCACAGAGUGACGUCCUCCAGAAGACGGGCCCUUCCCCAGGCUUCUGCCUGCACCUGUGUGAGGGAGCUCAGCCUCUGAGGGCCUGCGUGAGGGCAGCACCCUGCUCCCCUGGGACGAUCAAAGACUGAGGACUGCGCUCCACCCCUUGGUUCUCACACCUGGUGAGAAAGAUGACUGGAGACAUAGAAGCUCUCAUGGGCCCAGAGUCUCACAAAGGAAGGGUGAUUUUCUCCCCUCCUACCUUCCUCCAAACAUAAACAUCAUCAUUUAAUCACAGAACAUUUCCCACACUUUCUUAAGUCUGGUUCUCAAAAGGGCCUUCCCAGGACAGAAGUUGACCCCAUUCCUGCCCCCGGGGUGCUGCCACCUUGCAAGCCUCUCCUGGACUGAGCCCUGUUCUCACAGGCCAGCUGCCAGGGCUGAGUGCCCAAGGGCACGCUCAGGAGGGUCUGCAUCCCUCUGCUCCCAGCAAACCCAGAGGUCCAGGGAUGCCUCUGAAUGAGCUUCCUCAGCGGGAGGCACUUUGAGCCCAGAGGGGGGCCUGUUGUGGUGGUUUCCAGAACAACACACGUUUGGGGGACAACCUAUCAGGCAGACAAGACCUUCACUGUUUACACCCAAUUGUGUGCAUCUCUUUAGAAUACUUUUAAACAGUGCUCCCCUGUGGCCAGGCUGAGAAAGGUUGAGUAAAAUGUGGAUUUGGGCUUUUCUUGACUAAGCUUACAUCCAAGACAUAUCUUUUUUUGCUAUAAUGAAAAGCCUGUCAAUAUACUCUAAUAAAAUACAUGUCUCUACCAAUAUAUUUCUUACAGUGAGAAUUACCUCAACAUUAAAGGAAAAAACAAGGGAAAAUGUAUGUACACCUGUAUGUGAAUAUAACUAUCUAUAUCCAUCUAUGCAUAUAUGAAAAAAGAAUACUAUUUCAAUGCUAUAACAUUGCAUUUAUUUCAUUAGUGAAAUAGUAUCUCAUGAGUCUAACAUGGCAUUGGCUUGUUUAGAUCCCCUUCAGUGCUCCUCAAUGCCUUGAAGGGAAAGUUUAGCAUUUUUCAAAGGCUUAUUAAGAUUUUUACUAUGUGGUUUAUGCUCAUUGCUUUAGGUUUAUAUUUACUAUUACCCAUUUUGAGUUGAGCGCUCCAGCCAAUCUGCACCACUUGAAUGUCAUUCUCCUAAAUGAAACUUCUCUGUAUACCUUUGCACAUAUUCCGUUUCUCCUUUUCUAUAAUACUAUUUCCCUGACUCCAUUUCUGACUUGCUUUUAUAAAUCUUAACUAAGAUAUCAUCCCUCUUAGACUGUCUCCCUUGUAUUCAGCUUCCGAUGUAGAUGCCUCUGUUAGGAGGUCAUAUUUUACUUUUGUCCUGGGAUGGCUUGGAUCACACUAUUUGGUAAUAUAGCCCACAACACUACAUGCUCCUGAAGGGAGACCUGAUGUUGACUUCUUUCUCAUUGCACUGGACACUAAGACACACUUUAGGUGUCAAAGAAUGAAGUAUUAGAGUAAUCUCAAGUCAAUACAGGACAUAUUUGGGAACUGCAUAAAGAUUGUCAAAGCUCAUUUGUAAAAUUGAGAUUAUGUCUACUUUGCAAUAUUGGUUUGAAUUUUAUAUAUAUAUAAUUUUAUUUAUCCCACAACCUUGGCUUUCAGUCCUGAAAUUUACUGUGAUCUCUAUUGCCUUGCAUAUGGUGUUCCAACUUCUAAAGUUUACUUUCCAAACCUUUUCUUUCAAACUGGUAAAUCCUUACAACCAGGUCUUGGCUUAGGCUUCAGACUUUGGGGUUUCCUGACUCACUGUCAUAGCUGGGGGAUGGUUGUAUGCCUUCAUGUCACCCCCUGCUUUCCUAGGCUUAGUCCUUGUCUCGGUUUUCUCACCCUGGUCAGUUACCUAUAUAAAAAACUACAUGAAAAUGCAUGAGAAAAUAGGCUACAUAUUUUCUUGUACCUCUUUUUUUCAGCCAUGUAACUGUAUGUAGAAUGUUCUAGGCACUCAGUGAAUAACUCUCAUAUGACUGAGUGACUAAAACCUGAGGACAGUGUUAUGUAAAAAUUACUGGUCUUGCAUUAUGCAUGAAAUCUUGAGAGAUGUUGAGAAGUUGAUCACCUGUUCAAGAAGGCAGCACACUCAUGGCUCGGGCAGCUGUAGAAAGUAGCUCUUCACCAAUGCUGCUUCACAACAUACUGACAAGAAAAGGGCACAGAUUGCUACUUGUAGGGGUGGUGGAAAUGGGGGGUGAUGCAGUAUGAAGAGCUUGGACAACAAUAACAAGGAUGAGACUGCAUGUAGCUUUCCUUUUCGUGGCAUGACCUUUUGUGUAGCCUUAGAAAUGUAGAGAAAGCAUCCAUAUAUUCUUAUAUUAUAGUCUCCCUUCCUACAGGGCCAUGAAAUGGGGAAACUAUUUUGGCAAUUAGAGUGAGCAAUAUCCAUUAUAGUGGGACUAUAUACCUGGCUUUGAAUAAUUUAUAAAUCAUGUGAAAUAUAUCUGAAGAUAAGAAAGGCUAUUUGAUUUAUUGACUUGUGGUGUUAGAAACAGGUUUUGUUAAGAACAGGGGAUGUACAAUAACUACACUGAUUACUCAUCCGUGUCUCACAUUUUUUGACAUUGAAAUGAAGCGAUUCAUCAAGGCUGCAUUCUCAACUCCCAUAGAGGACAGCAACAGCUCUCAGCUGCCUCUGCCUUUUGCCGGGUGGAGUGGCUGCAGCUCUGAAUUUGGAAAUAGGCUCUGGAUGCCCGUGAGCCAGGAGUGUCUACAGAGCAGUUACAUGUCUGAGCCUUGGGAAUGAAAGCCUCAUUUGUGCACAGAACCAACCUAUCCUUGCAUGGAAAGGAGGAGUCCCCACAGAAAACCAUCAGGAGCAGAAAGCAAGGAAAUGAAACCGUCCAAUCAUCUCAUCUCCCAGCUUUGCAGUGUUCCAAGGAGAUUUUCUACCACAUUCAAACCUCACCCACGACUCACAGUCUGGCUGAAGCCACAGGAUCAACAGUGAUGCCCCCAGGAGCUGGUCCAUCUCUCCUGUGAGGAAGCAGGAGGCAUUUCUCCAGUCCCCACAAACAUCAGCCUGUCUUUGCCUCCCUGCACUUCACUCACUUCCUGUCACACAGCCUUCUGUUUCACCUCUUGCCCUGCCCUAUUUUUAGCUGGUUAGGCAUCUUUAUUGGAGGAAACACUGCCCCCUUUAGUCCACAUGUGGAAAUUUUCUUAAAAUGGAUUACUGCAUUUCUCAAACAUCAAUUUGCAAUAAUCUCUUCCCUACAAAAAGUUGUAAGAGAUUGUAGGAGAAACAAAGGUUUUCAGAGAUCACAUUACUCGUUCUAUUUUUUUACAAGUUGAAAACGAUAACUGAGAAUAUAGAGUAUUAUGUAAGAUCCAAGGAUUGACACUUUGUCAACUGGUAUGCUUAGGCAGACACCUUAUUUAAAAAUAUGCAUGAGUUGGUCUAUUCGUGGAGCAAAUAAUGGUAUGACUUUUUGUUUAAUAGAAUGGUCACAUAUUUAGAACACAGGCAUUUUGGUAAUUCUGCCUUUAAUAAAAUUUCAUUUUA